GGAGAAUUAGCUCAAUGGUUGUGUGCUUGCACCUAGUAGGUGCAAGGCUGUGGGUUCAACUCCCAGCAUCUCUA
Molecule: transfer RNA, 74 nt
Filed under: Mesocricetus auratus (golden hamster)
Lineage: Eukaryota; Metazoa; Chordata; Mammalia; Rodentia; Cricetidae
Rfam family: tRNA
About the family: Transfer RNA (tRNA) molecules are approximately 80 nucleotides in length.
Source: Rfam by way of RNAcentral